RNAcentral lists this ribosomal RNA (253 nucleotides) under uncultured bacterium. RNAcentral describes it as "partial 16S ribosomal RNA". It matches the Rfam family "Bacterial small subunit ribosomal RNA", at positions 524 to 776 of the family's 1533-position model. The record is from RNAcentral.
UACGUAGGGGGCAAGCGUUGUCCGGAAUCAUUGGGCGUAAAGCGCGUGUAGGCGGCUCGAUAAGUCCGCUGUGAAAGUCCAGGGCUCAACCCUGGAAUGCCGGUGGAUACUGUCGGGCUCGAAUCCGGAAGAGGUGAGUGGAAUUCCUGGUGUAGCGGUGAAAUGCGCAGAUAUCAGGAGGAACACCGAUUGCGAAGGCAGCUCGCUGGGACGUAACUGACGCUGAGACGCGAAAGCGUGGGGAGCAAACAGG